Molecule: ribosomal RNA, 1476 nt
Filed under: Enterococcus sp. EFL 0109
Lineage: Bacteria; Bacillati; Bacillota; Bacilli; Lactobacillales; Enterococcaceae
Description: 16S ribosomal RNA
Rfam family: Bacterial small subunit ribosomal RNA
Source: RNAcentral
ACGCUGGCGGCGUGCCUAUACAUGCAGUCGAACGCUUCUUUCCUCCCGAGUGCUUGCACUCAAUUGGAAAGAGGAGUGGCGGACGGGUGAGUAACACGUGGGUAACCUACCCAUCAGAGGGGGAUAACACUUGGAAACAGGUGCUAAUACCGCAUAACAGUUUAUGCCGCAUGGCAUAAGAGUGAAAGGCGCUUUCGGGUGUCGCUGAUGGAUGGACCCGCGGUGCAUUAGCUAGUUGGUGAGGUAACGGCUCACCAAGGCCACGAUGCAUAGCCGACCUGAGAGGGUGAUCGGCCACACUGGGACUGAGACACGGCCCAGACUCCUACGGGAGGCAGCAGUAGGGAAUCUUCGGCAAUGGACGAAAGUCUGACCCGAGCAACGCCGCGUGAGUGAAGAAAGUUUUCGGAUCGUAAAACUCUGUUGUGUAGAGAAGAACAAGGACGUUAGUAACUGAACGUCCCCUGACGGUAUCUAACCAGAAAGGCACGGCUAACUACGUGGCCAGCAGACGCGGUAAUACGUAGUGGCAAGCGUUGUCCGGAUUUAUUGGGGCGUAAAGCGAGCGCAAGCGCUUCUUAAGUCUGAUGUGAAAGCCCCCGGCUCACCGGGGAGGGUCAUUGGGAAUCUGGGAGACUUGAGUGCAGAAGAGGAGGAGUGGAAUUCCCAUGUGUAGCGGUGAAAUGCGUAGAUAUAUGGAGGAACACCAGUGGCGAAGGCGGCUCUCUUGUCUGGUAACUGACGCUGAGGCUCGAAAGCGUGGGGGAGCAAACAGGAUUAAGAUACCUGGUAGUCCACGCGGUAAACGAUGAGUGCUAAGUGUUGGAGGGUUUCCGCCUUUCAGUGCUGCAGCAGUAACGCAUUAAGCACUCCGCUGGGGAGUACGACCCGCAAGGUUGAAACUCAAAGGAAUUGACGGGGGCCCGCACAAGCGGUGGAGCAUGUGGUUUAAUUCGAAGCAACGCGAAGAACCUUACCAGGUCUUGACAUCCUUUGACCACUCUAGAGAUAGAGCUUUCCCUUCGGGGACAAAGUGACAGGUGGUGCAUGGUUGUCGUCAGCUCGUGUCGUGAGAUGUUGGGUUAAGUCCCGCAACGAGCGCAACCCUUAUUGUUAGUUGCCAUCAUUUAGUUGGGCACUCUAGCGAGACUGCCGGUGACAAACCGGAGGAAGGUGGGGAUGACGUCAAAUCAUCAUGCCCCUUAUGACCUGGGCUACACACGUGCUACAAUGGGAAGUACAACGAGUCGCUAGACCGCGAGGUCAUGCAAAUCUCUUAAAGCUUCUCUCAGUUCGGAUUGCAGGCUGCAACUCGCCUGCAUGAAGCCGGAAUCGCUAGUAAUCGCGGAUCAGCACGCCGCGGUGAAUACGUUCCCGGGCCUUGUACACACCGCCCGUCACACCACGAGAGUUUGUAACACCCGAAGUCGGUGAGGUAACCUUUUUGGAGCCAGCCGCCUAAGGUGGGAUAGAUGA